Sciurus carolinensis (gray squirrel) is the source of this 77-nucleotide non-coding RNA. The record is from the annotation of a RefSeq genome assembly. NCBI's taxonomy places the organism in Eukaryota, Metazoa, Chordata, Mammalia, Rodentia, Sciuridae.
GGGAAUGUAGCUUAGUUGGUAGAGUGCUUGCCUCAUAUGCACCAGGCCCUGGGUUCAAUCCCCAGCAUGCCCCCCCU